AAAAUAGGAGAAAUUGAUGGAAAAUCUUCCAAAAUUCAUAACUUGAGUUAGAGACCUCCAAAUCACUUCGUUCUAAAGCCAAACUUGUGAGAAAUUUUGAGAGGAAUCCAUUGGUACCAGUAUUUCUGGAUGGGCUUCACUGUAGAGAGAGAUCUUCUUCCUCUAAAAUUUGGAUUUCUUUGAAAGAGGGGAAUUUUAAAGGAGCUUGAAGCCAUGGGAGCUUGAAGCCAUGGGAGCUUGAAGUGCGCCUAAGAGUCUUGUUGAGGAUCCUACAUAAGAGGAGGCUUGGUAACUCGGUUGUUGGGUAGGCCAUCUAUACAACUUUGAGAGGAACACAUUUAAUUGAAGAGCUCUCACGGGACAAGGACACUACCCGUGGCUAGAGGUACUAGUAUGAGGAUAUGGAGUUCUGGGUGGCCGGACGCUACUAUUUAUUAUAGAUGUUAUUUAUGGAGAAUAUGUACUGUUGUAUAGUGUUCUAUUCAUUUUGGGAUCAUGAUGUUUGAUCCAUUAUACAAUAUAUGGUCCGUAUAUGUUUUGUACAUGUGUUCGUAUUUGAUGCAAGUACAUUUGUGUAUUCAGAUAUGUGCAUGUACUGAAAUAUGUAUGCUGUUAGACAUAGUGACACAGA
Long non-coding RNA from Gastrolobium bilobum, 631 nucleotides. RefSeq lists it as uncharacterized. The record is from RefSeq and is a predicted model, not a curated record. The transcript is spliced from 3 exons. Lineage: Eukaryota; Viridiplantae; Streptophyta; Magnoliopsida; Fabales; Fabaceae.